RNAcentral lists this ribosomal RNA (428 nucleotides) under uncultured prokaryote. RNAcentral's name for it is "bacterial SSU rRNA". It matches the Rfam family "Bacterial small subunit ribosomal RNA", at positions 355 to 774 of the family's 1533-position model. The record is from RNAcentral.
UGAGGAAUAUUGCGCAAUGGGGGCAACCCUGACGCAGCAACGCCGCGUGAGUGAGGAAGGUUUUCGGAUCGUAAAGCUCUGUCGGGUGGGAAGAAAUGUAUGGAGGUUAAUAGCCUUUGUACUUGACGGUACCGCCAAAGGAAGCACCGGCUAACUCCGUGCCAGCGGCCGCGGUAAUACGGGGGGUGCAAGCGUUGUUCGGAAUCAUUGGGCGUAAAGAGCGUGUAGGCGGCUAGGCAAGUCAGAUGUGAAAUCCCUGGGCUUAACCCAGGACGUGCAUGUGAAACUGCUUAGCUUGAGUAAGGAAGAGGGAAGUGGAAUUCCGGGUGUAGGGGUGAAAUUCGUAGAUAUCAGGAGGAAAACCGGUGGCGAAGGCGACUUCCUGGUCCUAUACUGACGCUGAGACGCGAGAGCGUGGGGAGCAAACA